Molecule: ribosomal RNA, 253 nt
Filed under: uncultured bacterium
Lineage: Bacteria
Description: partial 16S ribosomal RNA
Rfam family: Bacterial small subunit ribosomal RNA
Source: RNAcentral
UACGUAGGGGGCAAGCGUUGUCCGGAAUCAUUGGGCGUAAAGAGCGUGUAGGCGGCUCGGUAAGUCCGCUGUAAAAGUCCAGGGCUCAACCCUGGAAAGCCGGUGGAAACUGUCGAGCUAGAGUCCGGAAGAGGCGAGUGGAAUUCCUGGUGUAGCGGUGAAAUGCGCAGAUAUCAGGAGGAACACCGGUGGCGAAGGCGGGUCUCUGGGCCGAUACUGACGCUGAGGCACGAAAGCCAGGGGAGCAAACGGG